UUCCCACAUGUGUGCAGAUUCCUGAAGAAGCCAGAAGAGGGCACCUGAUGACUCAAGCUGUAUUCUCAAGCAUAUGGGAAUCACCUGUUGGGGAUGAUGAGAUGGGAACUCUGGCCCUCAGGAUAGAGCCGUCAGCACCUUUAACCUCUGAGCCAUCUCUCCAGUCUCUGUUUCACUUAUUUUUAAUUAUCUGGUACCUUGAGGGCUGGAGAGAUGUCCAAGUGGGUAAGGACACUUGCUGUAAUUUGUGACUCCUGCUUCGAGAGGCAAAGCCAGAGAGGACAGCCAGAGGAGCCAAAAUGGCAAGUUUGGGGUUCCCUGAGAGA
RNAcentral lists this long non-coding RNA (326 nucleotides) under Cricetulus griseus (Chinese hamster). Its description in RNAcentral is "lncRNA (ENSCGRG00000024604.1)". Lineage: Eukaryota; Metazoa; Chordata; Mammalia; Rodentia; Cricetidae. The record is from RNAcentral.